UUCUAUGUUGUCAAGAGUU
This 19-nucleotide unclassified non-coding RNA is filed under the name Mus musculus (house mouse). Its description in RNAcentral is "oocyte_clustered_small_RNA12299". Lineage: Eukaryota; Metazoa; Chordata; Mammalia; Rodentia; Muridae. The record is from RNAcentral.